UGAAAAAUCUUCUUACUUACUCUGAAACUCGUUUCGUUCAAAAGUCCAAACACUCUCUGUUUUUCUUCUUGUGAUAUGUUUUCAUUCCACAAGCUACUCAAAGACAUCACCCUACAAGCCUACAAAGGUAACGUUUUUGUUUACUUUGCUUAAACUACAAUGCUUACGACAUCUUGCAUAUGUUCUUACGAAGUUUUAAGAAAAAAGCAUUUGAGAUAUGUAUCUGAUAGGUCACAAAAUACUGAUAAGAUGGGUAAAGAAGUUAAUGAAAUUAACUCUAAAACUGAGGUUCUGUCUUUUGAUGUUUUAGUGAAUCUCUCACCGUUCGUUGAUUUGAUAGAGUACUCUUAGAAUUUAGAUCAUACUCUGUCUCGUUCUAAGAAAUACAUUGGUUAAAGAUCACUGAAAACGAUUUUGUUAUAAUGUACAUAGAAUUUUGUUUAACUUGUACCAAAAUUUCAGAAAUGGAUUGAAACGGAUGAUCAUUAAUCUGAUUUUGUCAUUUUGCAGCGGUUUAUGUUGAACACAAAAUCAAAUGGAGUGUGUUACUUACGUAAAGGCUUAAAAAGGGAAAAUGAUCUGAUCCGUCACAUUCAUAUCCUUUAAAAGUGGUAGACGGAGUGAUGAUAAUGGAGUCAUGGAGGGAGAAUGUUACGGAGCAGAGAAAUCUAAAUUUGAAGGUGCUAGACAGGCAAUAAUGAUUUGAGUAUAGGGAUAUGCGCAGAAUGCUUGUAAGAUGUAUGUGUAGGGUGUGAUAUGCUUGUAUAGAUGCAAUAAAUGUGUAAGAUGUGAAUAGUGUACAUGAAUGUGUAGGAAGUGGAUGGUGUAGAUGAAUGUGUAAGAAGUGAAUAGUGUACAUGAAUGUGUAGGAAGUGGAUGGUGUAGAUGAAUGUGUAAGAUGUGGCUGGCGAUGUGGAUGGCGUAGAUGAAUGAGGGUGGUGUAGAUGAAUGUGUGGGAUGUGGAUGGUGUAGAUGAAUGUAUAGGAUGUAGUAUCUAGAGCAAAAUUGACUGAGAUAUUUUACGACUAGAGAUAUAUAUAUGUUCGCAUUGUCCAAAUAUUUAGACUACUUAAAAUUAAAAAGAAGAAAAAAAUUCGAUAAAAUCUAAUUUCAAACAUUCAAAUCUAGAUUGAUCGCAAAAUUUGA
This 1146-nucleotide long non-coding RNA is filed under the name Arabidopsis thaliana (thale cress). RNAcentral's name for it is "long non-coding RNA (ATHA_LNC000667)". The record is from RNAcentral. Lineage: Eukaryota; Viridiplantae; Streptophyta; Magnoliopsida; Brassicales; Brassicaceae.